RNAcentral lists this transfer RNA (67 nucleotides) under Capnocytophaga ochracea. It matches the Rfam family "tRNA". Rfam says of the family: Transfer RNA (tRNA) molecules are approximately 80 nucleotides in length. RNAcentral also lists the same sequence under 1 other name. The record is from RNAcentral. Lineage: Bacteria; Pseudomonadati; Bacteroidota; Flavobacteriia; Flavobacteriales; Flavobacteriaceae.
UGAUGUAGCUCAGGGGUAGAGCACUUCCUUGGUAAGGAAGAGGUCACGAGUUCAAAUCUCGUCAUCA